CCUACGGGAGGCAGCAGUGGGGAAUUUUGGACAAUGGGCGCAAGCCUGAUCCAGCCAUGCCGCGUGUCUGAAGAAGGCCUUCGGGUUGUAAAGGACUUUUGUUAGGGAAGAAAAAGGAGCGGUUAAUACCCGUUUCUGCUGACGGUACCUAAAGAAUAAGCACCGGCUAACUACGUGCCAGCAGCCGCGGUAAUACGUAGGGUGCGAGCGUUAAUCGGAAUUACUGGGCGUAAAGCGAGCGCAGACGGUUACUUAAGCAGGAUGUGAAAUCCCCGGGCUCAACCUGGGAACUGCGUUCUGAACUGGGUAGCUAGAGUAUGUCAGAGGGGGGUAGAAUUCCACGUGUAGCAGUGAAAUGCGUAGAGAUGUGGAGGAAUACCGAUGGCGAAGGCAGCCCCCUGGGAUAAUACUGACGUUCAUGCUCGAAAGCGUGGGUAGC
This 439-nucleotide ribosomal RNA is filed under the name uncultured Neisseria sp. Its description in RNAcentral is "bacterial SSU rRNA". It matches the Rfam family "Bacterial small subunit ribosomal RNA", at positions 338 to 769 of the family's 1533-position model. The record is from RNAcentral. Lineage: Bacteria; Pseudomonadati; Pseudomonadota; Betaproteobacteria; Neisseriales; Neisseriaceae.